Molecule: long non-coding RNA, 472 nt
Organism: Oncorhynchus tshawytscha (Chinook salmon)
Lineage: Eukaryota; Metazoa; Chordata; Actinopteri; Salmoniformes; Salmonidae
Source: Ensembl
GUUGUAGAUGUGAGGUUAGCUAGGGUUUAGCAGGGUAUAUCAGUGUUGUAGAUGUGAGGUUAGCUAGGGUUUAGCAGGGUGUAUCAGUGUUCUAGAUGUGAGGUUAUCUAGGGUUUAGCAGGGUGUAUCAGUGUUCUAGUGAGGUUAGCUAGGGUUUAGCAGGGUGUAUCAGUGUUCUAGUGAGGUUAGCUAGGGUUUAGCAGGGUGUAUCAGUGUUGUAGAUGUGAGGUUAGCUAGGGUUUAGCAGGGUGUAUCAGGGUGCUUUAGCCAGCCAUAGGGGCGUUGUCUGGGGGGUAGUGGUGCUUGGCGGGAGGCUGUGCCUGCUGUGACAGAAGAGGCCAGCUGUCAACCAACUGUCUCCUACCAACUGUCUGUGUGUGUGUGUGUGUGUGUGUGUGUGUGUGUGUGUGGUCAAAGGACCACCAGCCAUGCCCUCAAUGCUGAGACAGACAGACAGCUGGGGGCAGUUGGC